UACGUAGGGCGCAAGCGUUAUCCGGAAUUAUUGGGCGUAAAGAGCUCGUAGGCGGUUUGUCGCGUCUGCCGUGAAAGUCCGGGGCUCAACUCCGGAUCUGCGGUGGGUACGGGCAGACUAGAGUGAUGUAGGGGAGACUGGAAUUCCUGGUGCGUAGGCGGUGAAAAUGCGCAGAUAUCAUGAGGAAGACCAGUGGCGAAGGCGGGUCUCUGGACAGUUCCUGACACUGAGACACGAAGGCCAGGGGAGCAAACGGG
This 257-nucleotide ribosomal RNA is filed under the name uncultured bacterium. RNAcentral's name for it is "partial 16S ribosomal RNA". It matches the Rfam family "Bacterial small subunit ribosomal RNA", at positions 524 to 776 of the family's 1533-position model. The record is from RNAcentral.